RNAcentral lists this ribosomal RNA (253 nucleotides) under uncultured bacterium. RNAcentral's name for it is "partial 16S ribosomal RNA". It matches the Rfam family "Bacterial small subunit ribosomal RNA", at positions 524 to 776 of the family's 1533-position model. The record is from RNAcentral.
UACGUAGGUGACAAGCGUUGUCCGGAUUUACUGGGCGUAAAGAGCGCGCAGGCGGUCGUUCAAGUCGCGUGUGAAAGCCCCCGGCUCAACUGGGGAGGGUCACGCGAUACUGAUCGACUCGAAGGCAGGAGAGGGUAGUGGAAUUCCCGGUGUAGUGGUGAAAUGCGUAGAUAUCGGGAGGAACACCAGUGGCGAAGGCGACUACCUGGCCUGUUCUUGACGCUGAGGCGCGAAAGCGUGGGGAGCAAACAGG